GUGUCAGCCGCCGCGGUAAGACAGAGGGUGCAAACGUUGUUCGGAAUUACUGGGCGUAAAGCGCGUGUAGGCGGCUUUGCAAGUCGGGCGUGAAAUCCCAUGGCUCAACCAUGGAAGUGCACUCGAAACUGCAGAGCUAGGGUCCUGGAGAGGAAGGUGGAAUGCUUGGUGUAGAGGUGAAAUUCGUAGAUAUCAAGCGGAACACCGGUGGCGAAGGCGGCCUUCUGGACAGUGACCGACGCUGAGACGCGAAAGCGUGGGGAGCAAACAGGAUUAGAUACCCCUGUAGUCC
Molecule: ribosomal RNA, 292 nt
Filed under: uncultured bacterium
Lineage: Bacteria
Description: partial 16S ribosomal RNA
Rfam family: Bacterial small subunit ribosomal RNA
Source: RNAcentral